ACUGUUUACUUGAUCUUGACUAUCCUACUUGGAUAACUGUGGUAAUUCUAGAGCUAAUACACGCAAUAAAGCUCCGACCUUACGGGACGAGCGCAUUUAUUAGACCAAAACCAAUCGGGCUUCGGCCUGAGCCGUUGGUGACUCUGAAUAACUGAGCUGAUCGCAUGGUCUUUGUACCGGCGACGCAUCUUUCAAGUGUCUGCCUUAUCAACUUUCGAUGGUAGUUUAUGUGCCUACCAUGGUUGUUACGGGUAACGGAGAAUAAGGGUUCGACUCCGGAGAGGGAGCCUGAGAAACGGCUACCACAUCCAAGGAAGGCAGCAGGCGCGCAAAUUACCCACUCUCGGCACGAGGAGGUAGUGACGAAAAAUAACGAGGCGGUUCUCUAUGAGGCCCGCUAUCGGAAUGGGUACAAUUUAAACCCUUUAACGAGGACCUAUGAGAGGGCAAGUCUGGUGCCAGCAGCCGCGGUAAUUCCAGCUCUCAAGGUGUAUAUCGCCAUUGCUGCGGUUAAAAAGCUCGUAGUUGGAUCUGCGCCUUCGGACUCGGUCCGCCCAACGGGUGUGAACUGGGAUCCAAGGCUUAUACUGCUGGUUUUCCCUUGAUGCUCUUUACUGGGUGUCUUGGGUGGCUAGCGAGUUUACUUUGAAAAAAUUAGAGUGCUUAACACAGGCUAACGCCUGAAUACUCGUGCAUGGAAUAAUAGAAUAAGACCACGGUUCUAUUUUAUUGGUUUUCGGAACUGUGAUAAUGGUUAAGAGGGACAGACGGGGGCAUUCGUAUCGCUGCGUGAGAGGUGAAAUUCUUGGACCGCAGCGAGACGCCCUACUGCGAAAGCAUUUGCCAAGAACUGUGCUUCAG
Molecule: ribosomal RNA, 861 nt
Filed under: Plectus sp. 1 GVDU-2019
Lineage: Eukaryota; Metazoa; Nematoda; Chromadorea; Plectida; Plectidae
Description: SSU rRNA
Rfam family: Eukaryotic small subunit ribosomal RNA
Source: RNAcentral